UGGAUAGCAAAUUUCUUAAUUUUCCUCAAAAUUAUUUAAAUUCUAGCCUAUUCUAUUAUAAUUUAUUUCAAUUCUAGACUAUCCAAUUCCAAUUUUAUUUCAAUUAUAACUAUCCUCUUCCUUUCAAUUCUAGCCGAUUUUAUUACAAUUUUAGCUAUUCUAUAUCCAAUUAAAUUUGAUUUUAAGACUCCAUCUAUUAAUCUCAUCCGUUCAUUUAAAUAAUUAAAUUCUAAUCAAAUCCUAACCCUCUAUCUCUACCUAAUCUAACGGUUGAGAUCAACUUUUCCUAUCUCUUUCUUUAACACCAAAGACCCCAAAACAUAAAAUUCUAAUUCAUUCUCCCUCCCCUCUCCCUGGCAGCCGCCACCUCCCCCUUUAUCUCUUUCUCUCCUCGUUUUCUUUUCUCCGGCGAAACGCCGCCGCCCUCCGUCCCUCUCUUCAUCCUUUCUCUUCUCCUCUCCUCCGCCCCUUUCUCCUCUUCCUUUUCUUCCCCUCGCCUUCUUCUCCCUUUUUCUCAGGCCACCAGCUGCAACUAGGCAGCAAGUGAAGCGGCAACCGCCAGCAACGCCGACGACGAGCAGCCAUCAGCAGCAGCAUUACAACUAGAGACACCCACCAGCCGCCCCUCACCCUCCAUUUCUUUCUCCACUUUCCUCCCUUCUUCUCCCCUUUCUUAUUUCUAUUUUCUCUUCCUCUUUUUGCAGGAACCAGCAACUCCUACCGGUGAAGACAACACCGACCAGCAGCAGCGAGGACAAGAAGAACCGGACAACAGCUUGGCGAGAAACAACUCCGGCGGAGUUUCGAAGGUUUUAAGGUUUCAAACUUGAAGUUCAAGUUGAAGAUUAGCUAUGAAGAGAUUACUUUGUUUAAUUCAUGUAUUUGAAUCUAUAUAUUUCUUUUUUUUAAAAAAAUAUUUGUAUAACUCAAAAGAUCUCAUGUAUAAAAUAUAUUUGGGGAUCGCCUAAGGGGAGGGGGAAUUAUAUGUUAAUUUGCAAA
Solanum pennellii is the source of this 999-nucleotide long non-coding RNA. RefSeq lists it as uncharacterized. NCBI's taxonomy places the organism in Eukaryota, Viridiplantae, Streptophyta, Magnoliopsida, Solanales, Solanaceae. The record is from RefSeq and is a predicted model, not a curated record. The transcript has 2 exons.